UACGUAGGUGGCAAGCGUUGUCCGGAAUUAUUGGGCGUAAAGCGCGCGCAGGCGGGAUAUCAAGUCCAUCUUAAAAGUGCUGAGCUUAACUCAGUGAGGGGAUGGAAACUGGUAUUCUUGAGUGUCGGAGAGGAAAGUGGAAUUCCCAGUGUAGCGGUGAAAUGCGUAGAUAUUGGGAGGAACACCAGUGGCGAAGGCGACUUUCUGGACGAUGUCUGACGCUGAGGCGCGAAAGCCAGGGAAGUGAACGGG
RNAcentral lists this ribosomal RNA (252 nucleotides) under uncultured Veillonellaceae bacterium. RNAcentral's name for it is "partial 16S ribosomal RNA". It matches the Rfam family "Bacterial small subunit ribosomal RNA", at positions 524 to 776 of the family's 1533-position model. Lineage: Bacteria; Bacillati; Bacillota; Negativicutes; Veillonellales; Veillonellaceae. The record is from RNAcentral.